UUUCCGUAGGUGAACCUGCGGAAGGACCAUUCAUAAUAAGUGUUUUAUGGCACUUUUUUAAAUCCAUAUCCACCUUGUGUGCAAUGUCAGGGUUGAUUCUUCUCUCGAGAGGAUCAACCCCAAACAUCAACUAUAUCUCAACUCUUUGUCUGAAAAAUAUUAUGAAUAAAACAAUUCAAAAUACAACUUUCAACAACGGAUCUCUUGGCUCUC
RNAcentral lists this unclassified non-coding RNA (213 nucleotides) under plant metagenome. Its description in RNAcentral is "partial contains small subunit ribosomal RNA, internal transcribed spacer 1, and 5.8S ribosomal RNA". The record is from RNAcentral.